RNAcentral lists this long non-coding RNA (478 nucleotides) under Sarcophilus harrisii (Tasmanian devil). Its description in RNAcentral is "lncRNA (ENSSHAG00000021899.1)". Lineage: Eukaryota; Metazoa; Chordata; Mammalia; Dasyuromorphia; Dasyuridae. The record is from RNAcentral.
AUCUCCACAAGCCUUUGUCCAGUGUGCAGACUCACAGCCUUCGGGAGUUAAAAAAUAAAAAAGGUCGCAAUGCUUCCUGGGAUCUGUAGUCUAGCUCAGUGACCAUUAUGUGCGGGCAGGACGGGACCUUCCUUUUCCGCACUCUGUUUCCCAGAAGCAUUUGGGGAUGGCUAGUCUGUGGCUCCAUAGGCUAGCAAGCUUGCCGCCCAGUACAAUGCAUCAUGGGAAUGCUGCUUCCGUCUUUUUGAGUGCACCUCUGAUUCGCUGACCAGGAGAGAGUAAAGGAGCAAGAGCGCCAGCGUCGAACCGGCUCCUGGCUCGCGGCUUCCUGCUUCCUGUCCUGUCGGGAGGACCAAAGUGAGCGCGGGAGGAUCCCUGCCCUCCUUUUCCCCACCUUGGCUCAGCCCCGUAAAGACCCUGCUCUUCCCCAGCGGCAGAUGGAGGCCAAGGAGGGCCCGACUUCUGGCUUCCUCAUGGC